CAGCACCUCAAGUGGUCAGGAUGAUUAUUGGGCCUAAAGCAUCCGUAGCCGGCUCUGUAAGUUUUCGGUUAAAUCUGUACGCUCAACGUACAGGCUGCCGGGAGUACUGCAGAGCUAGGGAGUGGGAGAGGUAGACGGUACUCGGUAGGAAGGGGUAAAAUCCUUUGAUCUAUUGAUGACCACCUGUGGCGAAGGCGGUCUACCAGAACACGUCCGACGGUGAGGGAUGAAAGCUGGGGGAGCAAACCGGAUUAGAUACCCGAGUAGUCC
Molecule: ribosomal RNA, 270 nt
Filed under: uncultured archaeon
Lineage: Archaea
Description: partial 16S ribosomal RNA
Rfam family: Archaeal small subunit ribosomal RNA
Source: RNAcentral